UGACUACCAUCCACUGGGGUGCUAUUUUGU
Molecule: non-coding RNA, 30 nt
Filed under: Homo sapiens (human)
Lineage: Eukaryota; Metazoa; Chordata; Mammalia; Primates; Hominidae
Source: RNAcentral